UCGAGAAUCUUUGUCAAUGGACGAAAGUCUGAACAAGCGACGCCGCGUGCGGGAUGAAGGCCCUCGGGUUGUAAACCGCUGUCAGUUGGGAGGAAAGACCUGUGCAGAGCAGGUCCUGACCGAUCUUCAGAGGAAGGACGGGCUAAGUUCGUGCCAGCAGCCGCGGUAAGACGAACCGUCCGAACGUUAUUCGGUAUCACUGGGCUUAAAGAGUUCGUAGGCGGCCAUGUAGGUCAGAUGUGAAAUCCCACAGCUCAACUGUGGAACUGCGUUUGAAACCACAUGGCUUGAGGGAGAUAGAGGUGAGCGGAACAGAUGGUGGAGCGGUGAAAUGCGUUGAUAUCAUCUGGAACACCGGUGGCGAAAGCGGCUCACUGGAUCUCUUCUGACGCUGAGGAACGAAAGCUAGGGUAGCGAACGGGAUUAGAUACCCCCGUAGUCC
Molecule: ribosomal RNA, 442 nt
Filed under: uncultured prokaryote
Description: bacterial SSU rRNA
Rfam family: Bacterial small subunit ribosomal RNA
Source: RNAcentral